UACGUAGGUGGCGAGCGUUGUCCGGAUUUACUGGGCGUAAAGAGCGCGCAGGCGGUCGUACAAGUCGCGUGUGAAAGCCCCCGGCUCAACUGGGGAGGGUCACGCGAUACUGUUCGACUCGAAGGCAGGAGAGGGAAGUGGAAUUCCCGGUGUAGUGGUGAAAUGCGUAGAUAUCGUAAGGAAGACCAGUGGCGAAGGCGGGUCUCUGGACAGUUCCUGACGCUGAGGCACGAAGGCCAGGGGAGCAAACGGG
Molecule: ribosomal RNA, 253 nt
Filed under: uncultured bacterium
Lineage: Bacteria
Description: partial 16S ribosomal RNA
Rfam family: Bacterial small subunit ribosomal RNA
Source: RNAcentral